Chinchilla lanigera (long-tailed chinchilla) is the source of this 414-nucleotide long non-coding RNA. RefSeq lists it as uncharacterized. The record is from RefSeq and is a predicted model, not a curated record. NCBI's taxonomy places the organism in Eukaryota, Metazoa, Chordata, Mammalia, Rodentia, Chinchillidae. The transcript has 3 exons.
GCAAGAAGCCCUUCUCCAGCCCUCCUCAAGGGAAAUAUGAGAGAUUCUAAAGAUGCUGCCAAUGUCUGGUUUCUGCUGAGGAAAGCGCAGCACUACACCCCAACCACAUGGACCAUCCUGUAACCUGAUGCAGAGAUGGAGGGUCGGGAGAAUUUGUUACCCUGGCUGUAUUCUGUACCUAGAGAUGAAAGGCAUUAUUCAGUCAUCUGGUGAUGGGCUGACUGCUAAUCGAGCUGUACUUUGCCAAUUCAUGAUUUCCAUCUAAAGUGAGGAAAAGAAAUUUCAACUGAUUGGCAAUAGAAGGGCCUCCUUCAACUUGCACUCCCAGCAUGAUGUAUUGUGCCAUCACAGGCCCAAAGCAACAGAGUCAAGUGAACAUGGACUGAAGCUCUCAAACUGUAACCCAAAAUAAAC